Molecule: small nuclear RNA, 88 nt
Filed under: Onchocerca volvulus
Lineage: Eukaryota; Metazoa; Nematoda; Chromadorea; Rhabditida; Onchocercidae
Description: snRNA OVOC13378
Source: RNAcentral
GCUUGGAAUAUAGCUCUAAUAUAGCCCAGAGUUUCGGCUGCUGUGGCUUGAAGUAAAAUUUUGGAACGUCCUGCAUUAGCGGGACAAC